RNAcentral lists this transfer RNA (77 nucleotides) under Deltaproteobacteria bacterium RBG_19FT_COMBO_46_12. RNAcentral's name for it is "tRNA-Asp". It matches the Rfam family "tRNA". From Rfam's summary of the family: Transfer RNA (tRNA) molecules are approximately 80 nucleotides in length. Their secondary structure includes four short double-helical elements and three loops (D, anti-codon, and T loops). RNAcentral also lists the same sequence under 1 other name. Lineage: Bacteria; Deltaproteobacteria. The record is from RNAcentral.
GGGGGCGUAGUUCAAUUGGUUAGAGCGCCGGCCUGUCACGCCGGAGGUUGCGGGUUCGAGCCCCGUCGCUCCCGCCA